Molecule: ribosomal RNA, 274 nt
Filed under: uncultured bacterium
Lineage: Bacteria
Description: partial 16S ribosomal RNA
Rfam family: Bacterial small subunit ribosomal RNA
Source: RNAcentral
AUACGAAAGGUGCAAGCGUUGUUCGGAUUUACUGGGCGUAAAGAGAGUGUAGGUGGUUUAUUAAGUCGGAUGUGAAAUCCCGGGGCUCAACCUCGGAACUGCAUUCGAUACUGAUAGGCUAGAGUUUGGGAGGGGUAAGCGGAAUUCCGUGUGUAGCAGUGAAAUGCGUAGAUAUACGGAGGAACACCUGUGGCGAAGGCGGCUUACUGGACCAAUACUGACACUGAGACUCGAAAGCGUGGGUAGCAAACAGGAUUAGAAACCCCAGUAGUCC